Lynx canadensis (Canada lynx) is the source of this 2204-nucleotide long non-coding RNA. NCBI's taxonomy places the organism in Eukaryota, Metazoa, Chordata, Mammalia, Carnivora, Felidae. The record is from Ensembl.
ACCACCUGCUCUCGAGAAGGGGGGGCGGCGGUAAAGAAUCGGGGGCUGGAAGAAGGAAAGAACGCCGAGUGUGAAUGCUACAGAGGUGUUCAAGAACCAGGCUUGGAAGCCUGGCGGGCUCAGGAGGCAUCAGAGAACCAGAGAGGGAGUCUGCUUUCAACUUCGUUAUGCUGUUCCAAUCCUGAUCAACCCCAGAGGUGACAUCAGAAGCCGGUUUCCUCUCACGAGGGUGGGUUCAUUUCUUGAAAAAUGCCAAUUAAAGAAAAAGAAAGAAACAUGGGAGUCCAACACCAGGGGAACAAUUCAGAAAGUUUUACAGCACUUCCUCUCCAGGAUGUAUGCCGAAAUCUUUUAAGGGAAAUUAUAAACAUCGUGAGGUGGAGUGCCCCCAGGAGGGUGCCAGGCCAGGCGAAGAUGCUCUGCUAUUCUAAAUACGUUCCAGGGGCCAUGCAGACUUGGACAAUAAAAAUAAUGGACUGAAGAUCGGAAGUACUUUCCGCCACGCUCACCCUUCGUGACGAAUUUACUGAGCGCCCGCCCGCAGGCCAGGGCCGUGAGAAGCAGAGAAGGAAAACACCAACUCCUUGCCCUAUAGGACUUAAUAGCUAACUCAUAGACACUGUUGUCGCUCAGCUGUCAAACAACACUACCAAAUGGGUGCUAUUAUCAGCAUCUCUGGCGGAUGAAGAAACUGAGGCAUAACCAAGGCCGCCCAGAGCGCCCAGGUGGCUCAGCGUUUAAGCAUCUGACUUCUGCUCAGGUCACGAACUCACCGUUUGUGGGUUCACACUGAGUGAGUUUGAGCCCCGCAUCAGGUAGAAUACAAGGCCCACUUCAGGUGAGGCCCAGCUUUCCCUACCCCCCCCCCCUUUCUCUCUCUCUGUCCCUCACUCACUUGCGCCCUCUGAAUAAAUAAAUAAAUAAAUAAAUAAAUAACCAAGGCCACCCAAAGUAGUAAGAGGCAGGGUUUUGAAUCUGGGCUGUCAGGUUCCUGAAUCCACACUGUUGGCCACAAACCAUAUCGCCCAUCUAGUUUAGUGAGGGAUGGACAGGUAAAUAAAUAAUUCACACAGAGCACAAUGGUCGAAGCACGAAGUACCAUGGCAGCACAAGAAGGAGACCCUGACAGCUCAGGAUCUGAGGAGGGAUGGGGAGAGAGGUAUCUCCUGAAUGAGAUGACACCUGGACAGCGCUGGAAAGCAUGAAUCGGUGCCAGCUGGGAACAGAAGAGAGGGGAGAGAACUCUGGCCACAUAAGCACGGUAUUGGGAAGUGGGGGCGGGGCCUAAACACCAUAGCGUCACUAGAGAAUAAAAUGCCAGGGGGGAGGUGGGACACAGUUUGCUCGACAAAUGUUUGUUGGGCCUCUUAUAUGUGCAGGACUGUGCUUAUUGCCGAGGGUAUAGCAGGGACAGGGUGUCCAAGGAGCCUGAACUUGAGCUUUCGAACAUUUUGCUCCCCUAACUUACUAAAGUAACUCUAAAACUACCCCCAUGCGAAACAUUCAACACACUGGAAAAGGAAGGGAACUUCCUCAAUCUGAUAAAGGGCAUCUCUGAAAACCCCCACAGCUAACAUCGUAUUUAAUGGUGAGAGACUGAAUGCCUUCCCUGUAAGGUCAAGAAUAAGACAGGGAUGUCCGCUCUUACCACUUCUCUUCAGUAUUGAACUGGAGGUUCCAGCUAGAGUCACUAGGCAAGAAAAUCAAAUAAAAGCAAACAAAUUGGAAAGGAAAUUGACACUUUACAAUAAGAGUGUUACAGGGGCACCUGGGUGGCUCAGUUGGUUGGGAGUCUGACUCUUGAUUUUGGCUCGGGUCAAGAUCUCAUGGUAGUGGGAUCGAGCCCCCGCCUCAUCAGGCUCCGCGCUGAGUGUGGAGCUUGCUUGGGAUUCUCUCCCUCUCACUGCCCCCUCUCACCGCGCGUGCUUUCUCAAAAUAAAUAAACAUUUUUAAAAAUAAAAGUGUUACAUCAGCUUUGAAUGCCAUCCAGCGGAGUUUAAAUACUACAGCAGUUUGAUGCCCACCAUCAUCCAUUUAUAUGUAAAUAAAGUAAAACGACUUUGUUAACUACAAGAAACGCUACGUUAUUCCUUUUUCUCCUUGAAUUUGCGUUUUUAUUCCAUUUUACUCUUGCAGAAGUUUAUCCUCAAGUAGUGUAAUUUUAUGCCUGAAAGUUCUUAUUGAUCAUCCUAUGAUAAUUCUUU